Ailuropoda melanoleuca (giant panda) is the source of this 1627-nucleotide long non-coding RNA. The record is from Ensembl. NCBI's taxonomy places the organism in Eukaryota, Metazoa, Chordata, Mammalia, Carnivora, Ursidae.
GUUGCUUAAAUCGCUCCUCUGUCUUUGGGUGCCACUGAGCACAGGACCAUCCAUCCACCCAGGCAAGGAGGCUUUCAUAUUUCUUCAGGUAACUCCAUGAAUUAUAAGCAAGGAUAAAUGAAAGUAGGAAUAAUCCAACACCAACUAUUGCCAGAAUUAAAAAUCUCAUGAAUGAUGGCAUAGCAGAUAACAUACACAACUAUACACCCUCUUCUGGUGCUACAGACAUUUUAGUAGCUGCUGAGCCCUUUAAAUUGGUGCUGUGUCUUAGAACCUUCUGUGAUGAUGAAAAUGUUCUGUAAUCUGCCCUGUCCAAUGCUGAAUGCUGUGACCACUUGCCACCUGUGGCUACUGAGCACUUGAAAUGUGGCUGGCAUGAUUUAGAAUGAAAUUUUUAAUAUAAUUUAAUUUCAAUUAAUUUACAUGUAAAUGACUGUGUGUGGUUAAUAGCUACCAUAUUGGGCACUGAACCUUAAACUCCUCCGUGGAUGUUCUCACAGCUUUGAACUAGAAAAAGGUCCGCCAGAUCGCGUUAAAAUAAAUGUAGUCUUACUUAUUGUCAGUGUAACUCUUGCGUCCUCUCACCUCCCAAAUUUGAAGACACACUCAUAAUUGCAGUUAGAUAGUUAAGAGUUCAAAAGACAGUUUUUCUAUUUAAUCAAAUAAUAGGAUCCAUACUGGCUGGUUUUCUUUCUUCCUUUCUUUUUCCCCAAGCUCCCUUCAGAAAUUUCAUGCCUUUUUGUUCCUCUAGGAUCAAAAAAACUCAGAACGAAACAUGCAGAUUAUGAAAUGAUGUGGAUGGUUUCGUGCAAUUUGGAAUUGGGAAUCACACCUUACUGCAGAGCCUGGCCUGAUGUAAUGGCAGUUUGACAAGUGUCUUAUUCUGUUUGGGCUGCUGUCACAAGAUACCACCAACUGGGUAGCUCAUAAACCACAGACAUUGACUUCUCACCGUUCCGGAGACUGGAAGCCUGAGAUCCGUGUAUCAGCGUGGCCAGGUAAGGGCCAUCUUCUGGGUGCAGACUUCUUUUUGGAUCUUCACAUACUGGAAGGGAUGAGCUGGCUCUCCAGGGCGUGCUUAAUAAGAGUAUCAAUCCCAUUCCUGUGGGCUCUGCCCUCACGACCUCAUCACCUCCCAAAGGCCCCACCCCCUAAUGCUAUCACCUUGGGAAUUAGAUUUUCAACAUAGGAAUGUGGGGGGCGGGGGCAUAGACAUUUAGACCACAGCAGUAAGUUAUCCUGAGGUGGGGUUGGUGGCAUGAGAAGGUUUUUAGUGAUUGGAUUAUGAACAGUUCACUAAAACUCAGGGCCUUGGAGAGUUAGCAGUGGUGCCCAUGGAGGGAGGCUUUCAGGCCCUAAUUCAGCCCAACACUGGAUUGGGAAUGGUAGUGAAGAACUAGCAUAGACAAAUGGGAACACAGGGUCUCAGGCUGACUGAGGCCCACACUUAGGGAAGCAGAGGAUGGCCACAGAUGCCUUGUGAGAAGUUUAUGGCAAUUCUCAGUUCUCUGACAGCGGUAAUAACCCUCCUGAUCUAUGCCCAGCUGCCCAAAGCAUCCAUCCAGAUGUGUGCUCCAGCAUUUGGCUCACUUGUUAAGCUUCUUCCCAUUAACUGCACAGUCUCUGC